GUCUUAUGGUACUGAUUUUCAAUCAAGUGACUCCUUCAAAAGCGAGGCAAGAAGCACGUGACUGCCUCCUGCUAAUUAAUGCUGAGUGUUCUUUCACUAGUCACCAAACAGUUAUUGCACUUGGCUGGGUGUGUGACGGUGAACAGGAUGGACACCUCUCCUGCCCUCACGGGCCUGCAGUCUAAGGAACGUCAAGACGGACACGCAGGCAAACCCCUGGGACCUUUCGCAGCUCAGCAGUGGUGGAGGGGGCCAUUCCACAGAGGAAGCAGGGGAAGGGAGUGGUGAACGAAGGCCACAACUGUGUGGGUGAAGCUAUCGUGAAGACUGGACAGGAGCCCAGGGCUCUGUAGGCAAAGGCCACUCCCCAGCCGCGAGACCUGGACCGACAGCAGAAGACAGGACUCCAGCAAUGGUUCAGCUAUGUGAAAAGAGUAUGAAUAUACCAGAAGCUUCUCUAUGCCGUCCGAUGGAGAACAGCAGUCUCUUAAUGUGUCCUGACUCUGGAGAGUAUUGGCAUACAUUUGAACUAAACUCAAGAUUUUUUUCAAAAUAAGCCUUAAUCUUAAAAGAAAUUAUUCCAUAUUCAAAUUAAAACAAUUUUAAUAGAACUUUCCUUUCCAGAAACAAUUAUACACAAAGCAAGGCAUUUUGUAAACUGUGAUCCUGAGCUAGUUACAGUGCAAAAAUAAAUAUACGUGGAAUAUACUCCGCAAAACAGAAACUACUCUCUGUCUCUUGGGCUUGGAAGGAAGCUGAAGGACAACCGACUCAAAACUUUGGGCAGGGCUUUCCAAAACCAAAGCUAAGCCCAGGCAUUAAGGCUGCAUGCUUAACGUGUGGUGCUAGGAGAGAGCGACCAAAGAUGGGAAGCAUAGAUGAAUAUCAGUCUCCCAGAGUACUUUUCACCAUCACGAGGAGAGUCAUAAGGGUUAAAUAAACAACAAUCUGAAUAGAAGCCAUUUGUAUGAGAAUGACGAUGCACGGGAGGGGUGACUUCCAUUUCCCUUCUCUAAUCUGAGCUCCUGGGGGCAUACUUUGGUUUCUGGGACAAUUUCCAAACCCUGAAGUCACCAGACUAGACAUGGAGUGGGCACUGACCAGAGCAAUCCAUGGACUGUUCGCUGUUGGGAACUAGAGUGGACCAAUUUUGAGAAACAGAUCAGUCAGAAAUGGGGGAUGGGAGCAGAGGUAAGAGGAGGCACUGAGGCAGACAGAGGCCCUUGCAAACUGAAGAGGAAACAGAAAUUAUGAGUCAGCAGCAGAAGCUGGUAGUAAGCCUGGAGAGGAAAAUGGAACAGAUGCAGAGAGAAGAUGCUGAGACAAAUGACAUGCUCAUGAUUCUUGGAGACUUUCCCAUUCAUCCCAGCUCAAGUCCACAUGUGUGCUUAUUCCUACAAAAAUAAGUAAAAAGUAAACAAACACUUUCUCUUGG
Molecule: long non-coding RNA, 1435 nt
Filed under: Equus caballus (horse)
Lineage: Eukaryota; Metazoa; Chordata; Mammalia; Perissodactyla; Equidae
Description: lncRNA (ENSECAG00000055772.1)
Source: RNAcentral